CACGAGGGUCUCACUGUCUUAAGGAAAUUUCCAGUGAAAUUGAAUUUGUAGUGAAGAUGCUACAUCCAAAUUGUUAGACAAGAAGUCCCCAUGGAACUUUACUGGAGACUUAUGUGGCUUAAAUUAAUUUAUUUCUUACAAAUAAAUAGUUUUAAAAUGUGGUGUUAUAAAAGCUCACUCUUUUAUUUAAAGAAAGCCAACUCAAAAAGUUAUGUCUUUGGGAUUUGAUAAGUGGGACAGUUUGGUUGGGGCGACCGCCUUUAAAAAAGUAACGAAGGCGGGCUUAAGAUACAUAUUUAGUGAUGUCUGACUGCCAAGGGGAGAUCCUGAGCAGACACUUACUUUUUAGGUGGGUUUAAGUGACCCGUUGAUUUAGGGUGAAAUAGUUAACGAUAAACA
RNAcentral lists this ribosomal RNA (399 nucleotides) under Flabellum flexuosum. RNAcentral's name for it is "partial large subunit ribosomal RNA". It matches the Rfam family "Bacterial large subunit ribosomal RNA", at positions 2003 to 2454 of the family's 2925-position model. Lineage: Eukaryota; Metazoa; Cnidaria; Anthozoa; Scleractinia; Flabellidae. The record is from RNAcentral.